GAAUGUGUCGAUGUUCGAUGGGAUCCAUUGUUUCAUUCAUAAUCAUUUAUUCGUCUUGACAUUGAUAAUCAGAUUAUGGGUGAAACAAACUGCGCAAGACAAUGUGUCGAAGUUCGAUGGGAUCCAUUGUUUCAUUCAUUAUCAUUUAUUUGUAUUGGCAUAACAGACUGCGCAAGAGACGGUUUCCUUCUAGUUACUCAGUCUGACGAAUUUAAUUUAACCAGUGCAGCACUGAGACUGUCAAAUUGCAAUGAAGACUAACUUACGGUUAGUAAACCUGCCCUUUAGUUAGUUCUUUUUAUCUAUAACCCAAGGUAAAAACUGGUACCUUUAUUUAUGAGAAGGUUUCAUGCAUAAAAACGACGAUGUCGAUAAGUUAGGUUAAGUAUGCAUUAGUGGUCAUUUCACAUUGCUAGCUGGUAUGUUCUCUGACAUUGUUUUAGUUUCUCUAUCAUAUCAUGGCUGUUGAAAUGAGAAGUUUCCACUAGAGAUACAAAUUUUGCGCCCCAUAUCUGUCAAUAAACUGGUCGUUUAAGAUAAGAAUUUAGAUUGAUGCUUCGGAGACAGAUUUUUGAUCCCUUUACCAGUUGUAGAUCGAGGCAUACAGAUUUUUCAAGUGUGUGCUUUUUAGUCCCCCAUCUACGAAGUCGAAGUUGAAGUAAGGCUUGCACUCUAUCCGUCUGUCCGUCUGUCUGUCCAUCUGUUAGCUCGGCAAAUCAGUUUUCCAGAUUUUUUCUUCAUGCUUGAAGAUAUUAAUUUGAUAUUUGGUGUAUUGUUCUAUCCUGACAAGUUACAGACCAAGUUAGAUUUUCAAAGCUUUUCUCCUUGUUUAGAUAAAGCCUAGAAUUACAAUUUUGAUGAAAUACUUUUUAAUUACUAGAUUUCAGUUCAAAGGAAAAUAACUAAAUUUUUAACUUUCCUUAUAUAUAGCUAAAAUUACAUUUUUUAAUGAAAUACUUAUUAAUUGCUAG
This 971-nucleotide long non-coding RNA is filed under the name Mytilus galloprovincialis (Mediterranean mussel). The record is from RNAcentral. Lineage: Eukaryota; Metazoa; Mollusca; Bivalvia; Mytilida; Mytilidae.